CUACACAUGCAGUCGAGCGCACCUUCGGGUGAGCGGCGGACGGGUUAGUAACGCGUGGGAACAUACCCUUUUCUACGGAAUAGCCUCGGGAAACUGAGAGUAAUACCGUAUAAGCCCUUCGGGGGAAAGAUUUAUCGGGAAAGGAUUGGCCCGCGUUAGAUUAGAUAGUUGGUGGGGUAAUGGCCUACCAAGUCUACGAUCUAUAGCUGGUUUUAGAGGAUGAUCAGCAACACUGGGACUGAGACACGGCCCAGACUCCUACGGGAGGCAGCAGUGGGGAAUCUUAGACAAUGGGCGCAAGCCUGAUCUAGCCAUGCCGCGUGUGUGAUGAAGGUCUUAGGAUCGUAAAGCACUUUCGCCAGGGAUGAUAAUGACAGUACCUGGUAAAGAAACCCCGGCUAACUCCGUGCCAGCAGCCGCGGUAAUACGGAGGGGGUUAGCGUUGUUCGGAAUUACUGGGCGUAAAGCGUACGUAGGCGGAUUGGAAAGUUGGGGGUGAAAUCCCAGGGCUCAACCCUGGAACUGCCUCCAAAACUAUCAGUCUAGAGUUCGAGAGAGGUGAGUGGAAUUCCAAGUGUAGAGGUGAAAUUCGUAGAUAUUUGGAGGAACACCAGUGGCGAAGGCGGCUCACUGGCUCGAUACUGACGCUGAGGUACGAAAGUGUGGGGAGCAAACAGGAUUAGAUACCCUGGUAGUCCACACCGUAAACGAUGAAUGCCAGUCGUCGGGCAGUAUACUGUUCGGUGACACACCUAACGGAUUAAGCAUUCCGCCUGGGGAGUACGGUCGC
This 790-nucleotide ribosomal RNA is filed under the name Sulfitobacter pontiacus. RNAcentral's name for it is "bacterial SSU rRNA". It matches the Rfam family "Bacterial small subunit ribosomal RNA", at positions 49 to 889 of the family's 1533-position model. Lineage: Bacteria; Pseudomonadati; Pseudomonadota; Alphaproteobacteria; Rhodobacterales; Roseobacteraceae. The record is from RNAcentral.